UUGAACGCUGGCGGCAGGCUUAACACAUGCAAGUCGAGCGGGGUGAUGUAGCUUGCUACAUUACCUAGCGGCGGACGGGUGAGUAAUGCUUAGGAAUCUGCCUAUUAGUGGGGGACAACAUUCCGAAAGGAAUGCUAAUACCGCAUACGCCCUACGGGGGAAAGCAGGGGAUCUUCGGACCUUGCGCUAAUAGAUGAGCCUAAGUCAGAUUAGCUAGUUGGUGGGGUAAAGGCCUACCAAGGCGACGAUCUGUAGCGGGUCUGAGAGGAUGAUCCGCCACACUGGGAGUGAGACACGGCCCAGACUCCUACGGGAGGCAGCAGUGGGGAAUAUUGGACAAUGGGCGAAAGCCUGAUCCAGCCAUGCCGCGUGUGUGAAGAAGGCCUUUUGGUUGUAAAGCACUUUAAGCGAGGAGGAGGCUACUUAGAUUAAUACUCUAGGAUAGUGGACGUUACUCGCAGAAUAAGCACCGGCUAACUCUGUGCCAGCAGCCGCGGUAAUACAGAGGGUGCGAGCGUUAAUCGGAUUUACUGGGCGUAAAGCGUGCGUAGGCGGCUUUUUAAGUCGGGAUGUGAAAUCCCUGAGCUUAACUUAGGAAUUGCAUUCGAUACUGGGAAGCUAGAGUAUGGGAGAGGAUGGUAGAAUUCCAGGUGUAGCGGUGAAAUGCGUAGAGAUCUGGAGGAAUACCGAUGGCGAAAGGCAGCCAUCUGGCCUAAUACUGACGCUGAGGUACGAAAGCAUGGGGAGCAAACAGGAUUAGAUACCCUGGUAGUCCAUGCCGUAAACGAUGUCUACUAGCCGUUGGGGCCUUUGAGGCUUUAGUGGCGCAGCUAACGCGAUAAGUAGACCGCCUGGGGAGUACGGUCGCAAGACUAAAACUCAAAUGAAUUGACGGGGGCCCGCACAAGCGGUGGAGCAUGUGGUUUAAUUCGAUGCAACGCGAAGAACCUUACCUGGUCUUGACAUAGUAAGAACUUUCCAGAGAUGGAUUGGUGCCUUCGGGAACUUACAUACAGGUGCUGCAUGGCUGUCGUCAGCUCGUGUCGUGAGAUGUUGGGUUAAGUCCCGCAACGAGCGCAACCCUUUUCCUUAUUUGCCAGCGGGUUAAGCCGGGAACUUUAAGGAUACUGCCAGUGACAAACUGGAGGAAGGCGGGGACGACGUCAAGUCAUCAUGGCCCUUACGACCAGGGCCACACACGUGCUACAAUGGUCGGUACAAAGGGUUGCUACCUAGCGAUAGGAUGCUAAUCUCAAAAAGCCGAUCGUAGUCCGGAUUGGAGUCUGCAACUCGACUCCAUGAAGUCGGAAUCGCUAGUAAUCGCGGAUCAGCAUGUCACGGUGAAUACGUUCCCGGGUCU
RNAcentral lists this ribosomal RNA (1360 nucleotides) under uncultured bacterium. RNAcentral's name for it is "bacterial SSU rRNA". It matches the Rfam family "Bacterial small subunit ribosomal RNA", at positions 29 to 1381 of the family's 1533-position model. The record is from RNAcentral.